UACGAAGGGGGCUAGCGUUGUUCGGAAUUACUGGGCGUAAAGCGCGCGCAGGCGGCUAUCCAAGUCAGUGGUGAAAGCCCGGAGCUCAACUCCGGAACUGCCAUUGAAACUGUUUAGCUUGAGGACGAGAGAGGUGAGUGGAAUUCCCAGUGUAGAGGUGAAAUUCGUAGAUAUUGGGAAGAAAACCGGUGGCGAAGGCGGCGACCUGGGCCUUUUACUGACGCUGAGGCGCGAAAGCGUGGGGAGCAAACAGG
This 254-nucleotide ribosomal RNA is filed under the name uncultured bacterium. RNAcentral's name for it is "partial 16S ribosomal RNA". It matches the Rfam family "Bacterial small subunit ribosomal RNA", at positions 524 to 776 of the family's 1533-position model. The record is from RNAcentral.